CGAUCCUUGACCGGCUCACCCAUCUACAUAUCUAAUUUCUAACAGAACUUGGUAGGCAGAGGAUGGUUAACUAACGGUCCAGUCGAAGUGAACUGAUUGGGUGUGCGAGAACGGGUGAGCUCGUGGAAAGGACGAUUCAAGGAGGACGGGUGAAGAUUUUUCGGUGGGUGGACAACAAUUCUGCUCAACUCGGGAAACUGAUCUAAAGGUGCACCAUAAAUAAGCUCUUUCCAAACAGAUACACAAAGUCCAUGAGGGGGAGCUGACGGGAGAUCCGGAGCAACUGAGGGUAAAGGUCGGCGAUUGGGUAAGGAUCAAGGUCCACAAAAGAAAGUGGGCGGAUCCCAGGUGGACUGGACCGUACGAAGUGAAGGAGGUUACCUCACACUCAGUCCAGGUCAAAGGUAAAUCGGGCGCACCUUGGCACCACUUGACUCAUUGUACACCAGCACCGACUCCGUCUAGAACUCUGACUGAAGUCAGGGUCGAUUUGAGCGACCUAAAUUUGAUUACAACCACAGAACCCUUAGUUGGUGAGGAUGUGGGAGCAGCUCCCCAGCACACCAACUAACAGGUCGUCCAGAGAUAGGGGCUAUCCCUGGACGAGAUUGGGGAUAUCG
This is a long non-coding RNA of Oncorhynchus tshawytscha (Chinook salmon), 620 nucleotides long. The record is from Ensembl. Lineage: Eukaryota; Metazoa; Chordata; Actinopteri; Salmoniformes; Salmonidae.